Molecule: ribosomal RNA, 502 nt
Filed under: uncultured bacterium
Lineage: Bacteria
Description: partial 16S ribosomal RNA
Rfam family: Bacterial small subunit ribosomal RNA
Source: RNAcentral
AUUGAACGCUGGCGGAAUGCUUUACACAUGCAAGUCGAACGGCAGCACGGGUGCUUGCACCUGGUGGCGAGUGGCGAACGGGUGAGUAAUACAUCGGAACGUACCCAGUCGUGGGGGAUAACGUAGCGAAAGUUACGCUAAUACCGCAUACGUCCUGAGGGAGAAAGCGGGGGACCGUAAGGCCUCGCGCGAUUGGAGCGGCCGAUGUCUGAUUAGCUAGUUGGUGAGGUAAAGGCUCACCAAGGCGACGAUCAGUAGCUGGUCUGAGAGGAUGAUCAGCAACACUGGAACUGAGACACGGUCCAGACUCCUCCGGGAGGCAGCAGUGGGGAAUUUUGGACAAUGGGCGAAAGCCUGAUCCAGCCAUUCCGCGUGAGUGAAGAAGGCCUUCGGGUUGUAAAGCUCUUUCGGCAGGAACGAAACGCUCUAGAUUAAUACUCUGGGGUAAUGACGGUACCUGAAGAAGAGGCACCGGCUAACUACGUGCCAGCCGCCGCUGUAA